This 460-nucleotide ribosomal RNA is filed under the name uncultured bacterium. RNAcentral's name for it is "partial 16S ribosomal RNA". It matches the Rfam family "Bacterial small subunit ribosomal RNA", at positions 338 to 795 of the family's 1533-position model. The record is from RNAcentral.
CCUACGGGGGGCAGCAGUGAGGAAUAUUGGUCAAUGGGCGUAAGCCUGAACCAGCCAAGUCGCGUGAGGGAUGAAGGUUCUAUGGAUCGUAAACCUCUUUUAUACGGGAAUAAAGUGUGGGACGUGUCCUGUUUUGUAUGUACCUUAUGAAUAAGGAUCGGCUAACUCCGUGCCAGCAGCCGCGGUAAUACGGAGGAUCCGAGCGUUAUCCGGAUUUAUUGGGUUUAAAGGGUGCGUAGGCGGCCUUAUAAGUCAGCGGUGAAAGUCUGUGGCUCAACCAUGGAAUUGCCGUUGAAACUGGGGGGCUUGAGUAUGUUUGAGGCAGGCGGAAUGCGUGGUGUAGCGGUGAAAUGCUUAGAUAUCACACAGAACACCGAUUGCGAAGGCAGCCUGCCAAGCCAUGACUGACGCUGAGGCACGAAAGCGUGGGGAGCAAACAGGAUUAGAUACCCCGGUAGUC